UCCCUGUCCUCGACCCCCUCUCCCCCGACCCCGCCUGACUCCGCUCGCCCCGCAGAGCCACGACGAAGCAGGGCCACACGCUGUGCCUCAGCCCUUCGUUGCCGUGGGUGAAGCUGCUCGUCGCCAGAUUCCUCAGCAGUGCUGCCCAGCGGAGCUGAGCGUGGCGGGAUGCGGCUGGCACUUGUGGAGCACCCUAACGGAGCGUCUUCGUUCCCGGGGGUCUGAGUGCGCGGAUUUGACUGCUGCAACAGGGAAGCACUGCCUGCAGUUUGGACGUUGAAAAGCACCGCCCUCAAGUUUUGUCCUCUUCUGCCUUGAAAACUUGCUUUCGGGGUGUAGUUCAGGAGAAGACUCACAGAGAUUAUCCUGAAUUCUUUCAGUGGAAAAGCUUUGCCUGGACUCCAGCAUCGGCAAGCCACUGGUGGGGCUCCUCAGGCACGUUAUGUUAUUUUGCAUAGCAUAAUGUCAUAACUUAUAUGAAGUCAUGUAUGUAGCAGCCACUGCACUGCACUGAUGAAUGUUUUAUUAUAGUCCAGAAUCCCUUUUGGAACUGUAUGUAUGCAGUUCCUCCGUUCUUCAUAUUUCUGUCCAGCAGAAAACUUGACAGGAGGAAUCCAAUCACUUCUAAACAGCGGUCAUUAACUGUCAUCAAGGUGGAACAGCCUUUGUGAUUUCUAUACGUCCGCUAAUGGCAGUCUUUCCAAAUGUCAGAGAACAUGUCCUGUAGUUAUUUAUGCGCACUUACUGUAUAGAAACAUCAGCAGCACACAACAGAACAAGUGUAAAAAGUGCCUGUAAAUUAAAUGGAAAACUAUUUUCUAUAUGCUAAUUGCUAUGUAUGUUUCCUAAUUAAAAUUUUUUCCUUUGUUAACUCUAUUUUUUUGCUUCUUGAAAAUAAACAUCAAGUAUGCCCAG
Long non-coding RNA from Lagopus muta (rock ptarmigan), 915 nucleotides. RefSeq lists it as uncharacterized. The record is from RefSeq and is a predicted model, not a curated record. Lineage: Eukaryota; Metazoa; Chordata; Aves; Galliformes; Phasianidae. The transcript has 2 exons.